This 778-nucleotide long non-coding RNA is filed under the name Setaria viridis. RNAcentral describes it as "long non-coding RNA (SVIR_LNC001242)". The record is from RNAcentral. Lineage: Eukaryota; Viridiplantae; Streptophyta; Magnoliopsida; Poales; Poaceae.
CUUUCUUUCUUUCUUUUUCUUUUUGAAAAUUCACGCAUGCAUGUCAAAAUGAGGAUUUAUUUUGUUUGGACCUGGCUGUAAUGCACGUGGUUCGCAGCUGACUUUUGGAUUCAUAAUGGUCACAAAUCUCUUUCUUUUCCUCUACGUUCUUUCUCGCCGGUUCUCAGAGCUUUUUUAGCGGCAACACUGUAGAACAAUUAAUAGCAGAGCCUAAAUGGAGCUACAAUGAGUUAUAGACUUAUAUAUAGCUGUUAAAUUAGAUAGACCCAAAUAGCAGUCUCUGCCCUGAAAAGGCUAUUUAGAGAAUGAAUUGCAUCAACAUAACUUGUUAGAGUAAUAAACUGCUUCCCGCUCGUCUGACUCUCUUAUUAUCUUCGCUUUCCACAAUCUAUAACACCCCAUCUCUUUACCCACACAUUCAUCUCUACUGCUAGAAAGGUUUUCCUAUGCAUUUUCUCUAUGUCAUCUCAGACUCUCCUACCCUAACCUGGACUCUCUCUCCAUCAUGCCCAAAAGUUGGCUAGAGACGGAGGGGGUACGUAAAGGUUUUUGAGAAGCGCUUCACGCGACUACUACUACAGCUCGUCAUCUAUCCUCUACAUCGGCCGGUCACACGGCUUCGUCGUCUUCCCCAUUUCAUGCGAGUCGUUAGAAUUAUGGUUUAUCCAUCUACAAAAGUUUAGUAAUAUGUGCGCCGCGCUUUGAUCCAAUCUUUAACCCUAUUAUCUGAUAUAUCAUGGUUAUGAUAUCCAUGUACCUAGUAUAUUGGAGAAUUUCA